CACUGUUCGUUGUAUAAGGGUAGGGGUAAAUGUUGGGUACGUUUUGAUAGAAUCCCUAUCGUUAGUUGUAAAUAGUAGUAAGCAAGGCUAGUUUAAAUUGGCGUAUGAAUGGAGAUAUAAAGGCAUGGCAUGGAGAUAGAGCAUAUGACCCGUGGGUCAAUGGUGGAGGCUCAGCCCAGUAAACUUAAAGUAUGGGGUCAACUUCAAAAUUCAAAAAGUUUUAGUUCGUUUUUCAUUUUAACGCAAGUCGUCAUUUCACGUGAAAGUCACCCACCUUUUCUUCUUAAAACACCUUUUGGCUAUCGGUAACUUCACGAACAUCGUUUUUUAAUACGUCUCGAAUGAAAUCUACGCCGCUGUAAAAGACUUUCUUCGUUAUAGAAGUCAAGAAUUCACUAUUUGUGCUGCUUGCACCUCAGUCUUUAUCUCAAAAUGAAAUGGAAAGAAAAAAAGAAACAGGCAAAAAGAACAAGUAGGCUACUUCAGGAUUUGGCAAAUAAUUCUAGUACUACGUUCUAGUCAUGUUUUUUCACGUUUGUGUUUGUUGCUAUGUAAAAAUAGAACAAGCACAAACAUU
Long non-coding RNA from Daphnia magna, 577 nucleotides. RefSeq lists it as uncharacterized. The transcript is spliced from 3 exons. NCBI's taxonomy places the organism in Eukaryota, Metazoa, Arthropoda, Branchiopoda, Diplostraca, Daphniidae. The record is from RefSeq and is a predicted model, not a curated record.